GGAAGCCUACGGUCUCCCGGUUGCCGGAAGGUCGGCAAGUUCCGUGAAAAUCGGACGCUGUCGCGCAACCGUGUGCGGGGAGAACUGACCCCGCGAGCCGGAAAACGACCUCCGGGAACCUGUGUAGUGG
RNAcentral lists this non-coding RNA (130 nucleotides) under Kiritimatiella glycovorans. The record is from RNAcentral. Lineage: Bacteria; Pseudomonadati; Kiritimatiellota; Kiritimatiellia; Kiritimatiellales; Kiritimatiellaceae.